CUGCAGUCAGUUACGUCGGAGAAAGCAAGACGGAAGCUCAAGAUGGAGACAGCUGCUUGCAUUGGAAGUAAAACAAACAGAGGCGCGACAGACAGCGGAGGACCACGUGUCAAACAGAAGGGCGAUGAGGAACUAAAGAGUUGGUGGAAAUUCCCAACUCCAUUUUCUCAAUUACGUCAAAAGAAGUGGAUUGUGAAAGAGUCUUAACUGUUUCCUCUUUUGAUGUGUUUAAAAGGUUUUGGGGAUUUAAAUGUACAGUAUUUAUUUUUCUAUUGCAAAAUAGUAGAAUAGCAGAAGUUAGAGAAAACCUAACCUGAUGUUCAUCUGUGGUCUCUGCAUUUCCACAUUUCUCUGCAUGUUUCACACCUUUCAAACUGUCUCUUGACACGAAGCGGAAUCGUUUCUCACAAGCUGAGUGUCAGCGUGGACGUGAGGAUGGGACACACCUUGUUUGGUGCGUUGGGGCUUUUCUCGCUGAAUAUUCUCCUCUACUGUGGACACGCUCAAGAUGCUUUGCUGCAUAUUGAGCCAAACUGGUCCCUUUUAUUUAUUGGAGAGAAAGUUACCUUCAUAUGUGACUCAAGAGAAGGAAACGACACUGACUGGAAUUACUCAUUCAGUAGGAAUGAUCAUUUCUUUACCACCAACGGAACAGAAAAUAGAUAUAAAUCAUCAUCUCUAACUAGAGGAGAUAGUGGUGAAUAUCAGUGUGUUGCUGAUCACAAGAUCCGUCCUGUUACAAGAGAAAGUAAUAAAGUCUCUCUAACUGUAUCAGAUGUCCCUCGGCUUGUCCUCACAGUGUCUCCAUCAUGGACGAGUCCUGGAGACUCAGUGACUCUGACCUGCAGUGUUGGACCUCCAUCUCCAGGAUGGAGGUUCUUCUGGUAUAAGGCUGUUCCAGAACAGCCAUUCAUUUCCUAUUACUACACUGAUGAGCUUCUAGCUGGUGGCACCACUGGGACUGAACAGGAUUCCUACAUUCUUCAUGGACAGACACACACAGCAGGAUAUGUGUGCAGAGCUGGAAG
Non-coding RNA from Gasterosteus aculeatus aculeatus (three-spined stickleback), 1028 nucleotides. Lineage: Eukaryota; Metazoa; Chordata; Actinopteri; Perciformes; Gasterosteidae. The record is from RefSeq and is a predicted model, not a curated record.